UUCCUUGCUCUUUCUCCCUCAACUCUCAGUCCUUUCCUUUCCCUCCCUCCCUCUCCCCAGCGUUCUGAACUCCCAGGUUCCUUCUUUCUUCUCUUCCCUCUUUCCGGUCUCUUUGUCUGCCCCCUCCUUUCUUCUUCCUUCUCCCUCUCCCUCCGCACCCCCCACUCCCGGGUCUGCUCUCCCCCUCUGCGCCCCCAGCCCUCCCUCCGCCCUCGCCCCGCCCUCCCCUCCCAGCCUCUCCCCCUUCCUUCUCCGCUCUCUCGCUCUCUGUGAUUUAUUACUUGCCCUGCUGCUUCUGACAAACUAUUUGUAGGAAAAUGAGAUUUGGUCCGCGCUGGAUGGUUCCUCUGGGAGGCAGGCGUGGGGGUCGGGUGUCGGAGCCCCCGUGUGGCGCCCCCGCCGGAGCCCCACGGCGCUUACGGAGCUCUUUAAGAUAAAUGAGCAAAAUUAAGAGACUCACUGGGGGAAGAAAACCCUGGCUGGCAGCGAGUGAGAGCCGAUGGUACGUGGUUGCCUCCCAAAAAGGCAUCCGCGUGCCCCCUACUGGGGCCUCCCCCACCCGCCUCAGUCUCCAGGGAACUCCCUCCCCCAGGAGAAGAACUUCCAGCCCCAGGGCAGGAGCGGUUCUGUUCCCAGGAUGUGGCGCCGACAAGGUCUGAGACCUCUACUAAGGCAGGUGAGGGAAGCAUACGGAGGAAAAGAAAGCGGCUGGAGGCACAGCUCGGUGGUAGAGCAUCUGUCAGCACAGAAACAGCCCUCUUUCGAUCUCCAGCACGAAGCGGGGAAAAGAACCUAAAAGCCACCUGUUAUUUCUACUAUUGAUAGUUUGAUCUUUUUCUGAAUUUGAAAUUUGUAUUAAAACUAGUAUGUUGUAAACA
This is a long non-coding RNA of Peromyscus californicus insignis, 878 nucleotides long. RefSeq lists it as uncharacterized. Lineage: Eukaryota; Metazoa; Chordata; Mammalia; Rodentia; Cricetidae. The record is from RefSeq and is a predicted model, not a curated record. The transcript is spliced from 2 exons.